UACGGGGGGAGCAAGCGUUGUUCGGAUUUACUGGGCGUAAAGGGCGUGUAGGCGGUCGUGACAAGUCACUUGUGAAAUCUCCGGGCUUAACUCGGAACGGUCAAGUGAUACUGUCGGACUAGAGUACAGAAGGGGCAACUGGAAUUCUCGGUGUAGCGGUGAAAUGCGUAGAUAUCGAGAGGAACACCUGCGGCGAAGGCGGGUUGCUGGGCUGAUACUGACGCUGAGGCGCGAAAGCAUGGGGAGCGAACAGG
This 254-nucleotide ribosomal RNA is filed under the name uncultured bacterium. Its description in RNAcentral is "partial 16S ribosomal RNA". It matches the Rfam family "Bacterial small subunit ribosomal RNA", at positions 524 to 776 of the family's 1533-position model. The record is from RNAcentral.